RNAcentral lists this ribosomal RNA (393 nucleotides) under uncultured bacterium. RNAcentral describes it as "partial 16S ribosomal RNA". It matches the Rfam family "Bacterial small subunit ribosomal RNA", at positions 523 to 918 of the family's 1533-position model. The record is from RNAcentral.
AUACGUAGGGGGCGAGCGUUAUCCGGAUUCAUUGGGCGUAAAGCGCGCGUAGGCGGCCUGCUAGGUCGGGACUCAAAUCCGGGGGCUCAACCCCCGCCCGGUCCCGAUACCGACAGGCUUGAGUCUGGUAGGGGAAGGCGGAAUUCCAAGUGUAGCGGUGGAAUGCGCAGAUAUUUGGAAGAACACCGGUGGCGAAGGCGGCCUGCUGGGCCAAGACUGACGAGGAGGCGCGAAAUGUAGGGGAGCCAACAGGAGUAGAUACCCUGGUAGUCCUAGCCGUAAACGAGGGACACUAGGUGUGGGGGGAUGUGCCCUCCGUGCCGCAGCCAACGCAUUAAGUGUCCCGCCUGGGGAGUACGGCCGCAAGGCUGAAACUCAAAUGAAUUGGCGGGG